CAGCAAAUCCUCUCUCCCUCAACGGAAGAUGGAACGACUUAUUCUUGCUUUUCCAGGAUCCCCUUCCCUAGGGAACAGGCACAGGACCCGGACUCUCCACUCAGCCUCACUUGCCCAAAUUUGGAAUUGUGAAACCAUGACAAGAAGAAGAAUAACGAAGAAUUAAUUCAGUGUUUGUGGUACUGGAGAGUUCAUGGUGCUCUGUAAAUAAACUAUUCGUAUCCUAUAUAAAGGUGCCUUUUCUAUUCAGACAGAGUCACCAAAAUAUGUUCCAGAAGAAGGGAGGGAUCCUAGACCACAGCCGUGGCCUGCUGGUUCUACGCUUCAGAUCUUGGCCAAAUAGAUAUUGUAAGCCAGAGAUGUGUUCCCAGAAACUUUUUUCUAGUUAUCAUCAAUUCACAGGAUUGUUUUGAACUCUCAGGGAAGGGAGAUGAACAGAGGAGAGGCUGUCCGUGAAUUGUUGGAAGUGUUUCACUCUGUAGCCGGCAUAUAAGGUAGUGAAGUUACAUACAUAUGUUACAAACAGAGGGUAGUAGACGGACACUUUUGUCAGCAUUUAGUUUUCCCAAUUAGUGAUAUCAAAUUUGGUGUGUUGGUAUGGAUUAUUACAUAUUUUCCU
Molecule: long non-coding RNA, 619 nt
Filed under: Felis catus (domestic cat)
Lineage: Eukaryota; Metazoa; Chordata; Mammalia; Carnivora; Felidae
Description: lncRNA (ENSFCAG00000043751.2)
Source: RNAcentral